GAGCUAAUACCGGAUACGUUCUUUUCUCGCAUGAGAGAAGAUGGAAAGACGGUUUACGCUGUCACUUAUAGAUGGGCCCGCGGCGCAUUAGCUAGUUGGUGAGGUAAUGGCUCACCAAGGCGACGAUGCGUAGCCGACCUGAGAGGGUGAUCGGCCACACUGGGACUGAGACACGGCCCAGACUCCUACGGGAGGCAGCAGUAGGGAAUCUUCCGCAAUGGACGAAAGUCUGACGGAGCAACGCCGCGUGAACGAAGAAGGCCUUCGGGUCGUAAAGUUCUGUUGUUAGGGAAGAACAAGUACCAGAGUAACUGCUGGUACCUUGACGGUACCUAACCAGAAAGCCACGGCUAACUACGUGCCAGCAGCCGCGGUAAUACGUAGGUGGCAAGCGUUGUCCGGAAUUAUUGGGCGUAAAGCGCGCGCAGGUGGUUCCUUAAGUCUGAUGUGAAAGCCCACGGCUCAACCGUGGAGGGUCAUUGGAAACUGGGGAACUUGAGUGCAGAAGAGGAAAGUGGAA
This 520-nucleotide ribosomal RNA is filed under the name Bacillus sp. A9(2015). RNAcentral's name for it is "bacterial SSU rRNA". It matches the Rfam family "Bacterial small subunit ribosomal RNA", at positions 160 to 666 of the family's 1533-position model. Lineage: Bacteria; Bacillati; Bacillota; Bacilli; Caryophanales; Bacillaceae. The record is from RNAcentral.